Molecule: long non-coding RNA, 474 nt
Filed under: Elaeis guineensis (African oil palm)
Lineage: Eukaryota; Viridiplantae; Streptophyta; Magnoliopsida; Arecales; Arecaceae
Description: long non-coding RNA (EGUI_LNC033662)
Source: RNAcentral
CCAUCUCACCAUUAUCCGCAUGAACAGCUCCGACCCAAUGAUGUUUGCACAUAUGACCAAGAUCUACUAGUCAGAAUCAAAUCAUCCGGCACCAAAUUAUCUUUCUGAAACGACAUCUGGUGUUCCACUAUCUUAUCAAAAUGAUAGCCCAAUAAUGAUUUCAUAGCUAUCGAAACAGCAAAACAGCUGGAGAUAUCUCGUAUUCCAAAAACUCAUAAAGGCUAGCAGCUGAGUCGGGACUUGAGGCAACACGUGACGGUUCCCUUCGUCCAAUAUGACAGACCACGUGAUGAUAUACACGUCGGACCACCUGAACUUGGGAGUGGGGGGCAACUAUUGGGACAAUACAACCGAUCCCCGACUCCGACCUUACAUCGGUCGAAUGAACAUAUUACGUCGACUCACAAUCGGUUGACUGACCAACAAUCGGCUAUUAUCAACCAACAACGAACAACUUAGUUAACCUUCGACCAA